This 468-nucleotide ribosomal RNA is filed under the name uncultured bacterium. RNAcentral's name for it is "partial 16S ribosomal RNA". It matches the Rfam family "Bacterial small subunit ribosomal RNA", at positions 28 to 507 of the family's 1533-position model. The record is from RNAcentral.
GACGAACGCUGGCGGCGUGCUUAACACAUGCAAGUCGAACGGAAAGGCCCUGCUUUUGUGGGGUGCUCGAGUGGCGAACGGGUGAGUAACACGUGAGUAACCUGCCCUUGACUUUGGAAUAACUUCAGGAAACUGGGGCUAAUACCGGAUAGGAUCUCCUGCUGCAUGGUGGGGGUUGGAAAGUUUCGACGGUUGGGGAUGGACUCGCGGCUUAUCAGCUUGUUGGUGGGGUAGUUGCUUACCAAGGCUUUGACGGGUAGCCGGCCUGAGAGGGUGACCGGCCACAUUGGGACUGAGAUACGGCCCAGACUCCUACGGGAGGCAGCAGUGGGGAAUAUUGCACAAUGGGCGGAAGCCUGAUGCAGCAACGCCGCGUGCGGGAUGACGGCCUUCGGGUUGUAAACCGCUUUCGCCUGUGACGAGGCGUGAGUGACGGUAAUGGGUAAAGAAGCACCGGCUAACUACGUG